GAUGAACGCUGGCGGCGUGCCUAAUACAUGCAAGUCGAGCGAACGGACGAGAAGCUUGCUUUUCUGAUGUUAGCGGCGGACGGGUGAGUAACACGUGGAUAACCUACCUAUAAGACUGGGAUAACUUCGGGAAACCGCAGCCAAUACCGGAUAAUAUUUUGAACCGCAUGGUUCAAAAGUGGAAGACUGUCUUGCUGCCACUUAUAGAUUGAUCCGCGCUGCAUUAGCUAGUUGGUAAGCUAACGGCUUACCAAGGCAACGAUGCAUAGCCGACCUGUGAGGGUGAUCGGCCACACUGGAACUGAGACACGGUCCAGACUCCUACGGGAGGCAGCAGUAGGGAAUCUUCCGCAAUGGGCGAAAGCCUGACGGAGCAACGCCGCGUGAGUGAUGAAGGUCUUCGGAUCGUAAAACUCUGUUAUUAGGGAAGAACAUAUGUGUAAGUAACUGUGCACAUCUUGACGGUACCUAAUCAGAAAGCCACGGCUAACUACGUG
This 497-nucleotide ribosomal RNA is filed under the name uncultured bacterium. Its description in RNAcentral is "partial 16S ribosomal RNA". It matches the Rfam family "Bacterial small subunit ribosomal RNA", at positions 28 to 507 of the family's 1533-position model. The record is from RNAcentral.